Molecule: long non-coding RNA, 255 nt
Filed under: Panax ginseng (ginseng)
Lineage: Eukaryota; Viridiplantae; Streptophyta; Magnoliopsida; Apiales; Araliaceae
Description: long non-coding RNA (PGIN_LNC000057)
Source: RNAcentral
UUUUUAAGUGUUUAUGUCUAUUCAUGCAUGUUUUACGUUAUUUUGUAGGAAUUGGGACAAAAGUUACUUGGGUCGACGUUUGGGGUGGCUAGAUUCGCGUUUUCGGCUUGCCAUUUACAUAGCAGUCACUUCAGAGCCAAUUUGAGUAUAGCUCCGGAUCUUAUUUUGAAAAACUUAAAUAAUGAAAGUUGUAGAUCUACUUCUCCUCUUUCUGGAACAUCUUGAAUCAUCAAAAUCGGAGUUCGGACGAAGAAG